GGGGGAAAAGGGGGUGUAAACCCUAACCACAAAAAAAUCAUCAAUUGAAAAGGAAAUCGCGGGUUGAUUGUGUGCAUGAACCAAGAAUGAUGAUCCCUUAAGCGUUUCUCACAUCAAGAACGUGUCAAGGAGAGGUCAAGCAUAGGAGGAUAGCGGGUCAAGAUAAGGCAAGGUGACAAAUACACUUAUUGGAGUACUCGAGGUAUGGGAUCGUUGGCUUCAUGAAGAAAUGGAGCUGGAUUUGGAUAAGAGUAUUUAAGAAAGCGCUUGGACAAUUCCACGACUACUUUAUAGAAUGCUCUACGAAAUUUUAUUAUAUAGUUUAAUGUUGAAUGGUAUCGCUUGGGUUUUCUCUACAUUUAUUGAAGUGAAGCGGACUUAGU
This 383-nucleotide long non-coding RNA is filed under the name Helianthus annuus (common sunflower). Its description in RNAcentral is "hypothetical non coding rna". Lineage: Eukaryota; Viridiplantae; Streptophyta; Magnoliopsida; Asterales; Asteraceae. The record is from RNAcentral.